Molecule: long non-coding RNA, 827 nt
Organism: Ruditapes philippinarum (Manila clam)
Lineage: Eukaryota; Metazoa; Mollusca; Bivalvia; Venerida; Veneridae
Exons: 3
Source: RefSeq, a predicted model, not a curated record
CCACGCAAUAUUUUAUGUGCAAGCAAUAUCUAUGCAGGCUAUUGCUUAGAUAUUGAUUUAACAAAAUCAUUAUCGAUGCAUUUAGCCUUAAACGUUCAUAGAAUUUUGAAAAAUAUUUAAAAUACCGCCAAAAGGUCCUGGAUAGAAUUAAGCGCCUAUGGGUAGGAGAAUACAUACUCACGUAAAUAUAUAACAAGAAUAUAGAUAUAGAUGAAUUUAUCGCAGAAAUUAAAAUAAAAGUCUCAAAUAUAAGAAGGAGGUCGAUUUCAGUUUAUGCACAAUUACAGUUGUCUUUUUUCAUAGUUUGCAGAUAUGGACGGUUGCAGCUCGGAUAUUGUUUGUAGAUGAUGUUGGAAAACAUUUCGUUCACGGACAAGUCUUAAUGACCACAUAUGAGCUGGCUACUCGGCACAGGACCUUGUAAACGUUGUGGCAAAUCCAACUGCCAUAGAUCCUGGUCCUGGAUGAAAUUGAGAGUAUUGUAGCUGUAGCUUGUAUACCAUACAUUUAACAUGGAUAGGACUGUCAGAAGCAGUAAGAGACAGCCAAAGAAGUAUUCAAACACCAUCAUGAAACAUUUAAGACAUACCAGGAGAGAUCUAGAAGAGUAGUUGGUAGAAGAGUGGAACAGUUUGUAGCUUAAUUGUAACUAAAAGGACUUCUUAAAUACUUGAACUGUAUAUUUGAAAUAAAAUACCUGAAGUAUUUAAUAGUGUCUUUUUUUGUUAAACAGUUAAAUUCUGUUACUUUGCUUUAUAUUUAUAUUAAAGUAUGUUGAAGUGACAUUGGAACUUUAACGUUGUGCCAACGUUGAAUUUCAACGUUGU